CGAGCGGAAGGCCCUUUCGGGGGUACUCGAGCGGCGAACGGGUGAGUAACACGUGAGUAAUCUGCCCUUGGCUUUGGGAUAAGCCCCGGAAACGGGGUCUAAUACCGGAUACGACAACUCUCGGCAUCGAGUGGUUGUGGAAAGUUUUUUCGGCCAGGGAUGUGCUCGCGGCCUAUCAGCUUGUUGGUGGGGUAAUGGCCUACCAAGGCUUCGACGGGUAGCCGGCCUGAGAGGGUGACCGGCCACACUGGGACUGAGACACGGCCCAGACUCCUACGGGAGGCAGCAGUGGGGAAUAUUGGACAAUGGGCGGAAGCCUGAUCCAGCAACGCCGCGUGAGGGAUGACGGCCUUCGGGUUGUAAACCUCUUUCAGUACCGACGAAGCGCCGAUGAUGGUGGUGACGGUAGGUACAGAAGAAGCACCGGCCAACUACGUGCCAGCAGCCGCGGUAAUACGUAGGGUGCGAGCGUUGUCCGGAAUUAUUGGGCGUAAAGGGCUCGUAGGCGGUUUGUCGCGUCGGGAGUGAAAACACCGGGCUUAACUCGGUGCUUGCUUUCGAUACGGGCAGACUAGAGGCAUGCAGGGGAGAACGGAAUUCCUGGUGUAGCGGUGAAAUGCGCAGAUAUCAGGAGGAACACCGGUGGCGAAGGCGGUUCUCUGGGCAUGUCCUGACGCUGAGGAGCGAAAGUGUGGGGAGCG
Molecule: ribosomal RNA, 701 nt
Filed under: Nocardioides sp.
Lineage: Bacteria; Bacillati; Actinomycetota; Actinomycetes; Propionibacteriales; Nocardioidaceae
Description: bacterial SSU rRNA
Rfam family: Bacterial small subunit ribosomal RNA
Source: RNAcentral